UAGCAUAAUCAUUAGUUCUUUAAUUGAGAACUGGCAUGAAAGGUCGGACAAGAGAAAAUCUGUCUCCAUUGUUAAAAUUAAAAUUGACUUUUAAGUGAAAAGGCUUAAAUACUUCAGGGGGACGAUAAGACCCUAUAAAACUUUAUAUAUGCAACAAUACAGUUGAAUUAAAGCAUAAAAACUUAUUCGAUAAAAUAUAUUUAGUUGGGGCGACUGAGGUAUAAUUUAUAGUAACUGAUUAAAAGCAAGACAAAUAAUAUUUGAUUAACUUUAAUUGAUCCUUUUUAAAGAUUAAAAGAUUAAGUUACUUUAGGGAUAACAGCGUAAUUUUUUCUAAGAGUCCAUAUCGAAGAAAAAGAUUGCGACCUC
This 369-nucleotide ribosomal RNA is filed under the name Carcinus maenas (green crab). RNAcentral describes it as "partial 16S ribosomal RNA". It matches the Rfam family "Bacterial large subunit ribosomal RNA", at positions 1957 to 2527 of the family's 2925-position model. The record is from RNAcentral. Lineage: Eukaryota; Metazoa; Arthropoda; Malacostraca; Decapoda; Carcinidae.